Molecule: RNA transcript, 1354 nt
Organism: Carassius carassius (crucian carp)
Lineage: Eukaryota; Metazoa; Chordata; Actinopteri; Cypriniformes; Cyprinidae
Gene name: translin-associated factor X-interacting protein 1-like
Exons: 4
Source: RefSeq, a predicted model, not a curated record
CAACCACCUCUCAAACAACAACAAUGCCACGCUGCUGAAACUUCAGUUGGACGUUCGCUGCUAAUUUUGCUGUGGAUUAUUUUUAAGAUGUUUAUUCGUCGAAAUGUCACUGAGAGAACUACAGUUGCCAUCGCUGUUACACUCUGAAAGGCAAGAGUUAAGGACAUUUCAGAAUCGAUAACGUUUCUAACCUUGAUGACUAGAAGUGACUGCCUACAAUCCAAACAAGGCGACAGAAGUCAGUAACGUUAGUUAAGUGUAAAUAUCGCAUCUUUGUGAACAGAUCAGGGACAUGCUACCACUGCGAGGGAAGCUGGUGCUUGUGUCGAAACAGUGUGAAAAGAAGAUUCUGGACCAGAGAGUACAGGAAAGAGAUGAGAUCCGAACUCUGAAGCGAGAGAGUCAGCGUCUGCAGCGUGUCAUUGAGAGUAUGAGAGAACAACAGACUGCUCUGCAGAUUCAGAGGACGAAUCUGAGGAUCCUGUGGUGCUGAAAAUUGCUUUGCUGGUGUGUAGAGAGGAUCUUACCAAAGUCCAAGUUGAGCUUAACCGCCUGCAAGCCGAAUACAGUGAUGUGGUCCCACGACCAGACUACAUCAUAUUCAUGAGGAGACUUUAAUGAAGGACACAGAUGUAAGACAUGAAGUGUUCCUGAGUCUAGUUAAAAAACAAGCUACUUCUGAGAGGCUGCAGUACAUCAGCGAGCUGAGAGUGCAACUGGAAGGCAAGGGGUGAAAGAUCAUCAUCCAUCAAACUGUUUACAAAAUUAGAAUAAGUUAUUAGAGAUCUCAGUGUAAAAGCCACAUUUAACUAAUCCUGUUUAGAUUUCGAUAAAUGUCAUAGUUUUUUCCUGUUUUGCAUAUCGUCAAUGUAGAGAAAUUAAUGCAGAGCACCCCUGAGCUGCCUUCAAGACUAUCGAUCCCUCACUGGAUUCUGAAACUCUGGACUGGAAUAUCAGUGUAGUUUUUCAGACAAAGCAGUGUGAAUUACAAGCUCUAGCUUUGAACACAGAAGUUGUGCUACAGCGUCUCUCUGUGGCUAAUGUAAAAAGGGCAGGGCCAAAGCGAUGACCAUUUGUUACAAGCACAUUUCCUAUCUUUUUAUAUAGCACACUACUACACAUAUAAACCAACCACAGCACUAGGGUAUAGAAACACCUCUGUAUUCAUAGUUUGCAUAUUGUUAUGUAAUUAGAUAAAUCACAUAUCAAGAAUGAAACAGUAAUAAAAUAACUUUAAAAAUAUAAUUUGAAUAGCCUCUGUAUGCUGCUUUAACAUGUUUUUGCUUAAAAAGAAAAGUAACCGCCAUGCUUGUUAUAUUGAUCUUUUACAUCUAAAUCAACAAAGCUCUAUUAA